UGAGGCAAACAGGAGAAGACAGAGCAGCUCAGUCUGGGCAAGUCAGAGUCCGAUUCCUUAGACGCCGGGAUACUCUCACGCUUGCAGGGAAACAGCUCAUUGCAACAGGAAGAAUUCAGGAUUGGGGUUCAGAACUCAUUGAUAUGCUUCCCAUCUCUGCUGGUUACCAGCGGCAUGAGUUAAGGCAAGUCACUUAAUCUGUCUGAAUCUCAGUUAAUCUAUCUGGAAAAGGUAGGUACCUGGGUGGGGGAAGGGAUGAUUCUAAAUUUAAGAGUUUGGAAAACCAAAUGACUCCUUUAGUGCCCGCAGGGUUCUACUGAAGAGAAAUGAGAUCAUGAAUGUGAAAAUGCUUCAUAUACUCCACAGUGUCCUAUAGAAUUAUAGCUGCUCCCUUGUUCGAGUUUAAUUCAUUGGAAAUAGGAAGUUAAUCUUUCUUGUGUCCACCAGAGCCAAUUUCUUUUGGUUCUUUCUUUUAGUGAAGCAGAAGGAUUCGGGAAAUAUUUAAUUAAAGUGUCAAAGACUAAAAUUUUUUUCCCCAGUGAAUCCAUCAACCAUCAGUGGUUAUUCACGGAACAUCUACAGGGCUGGGGAAAAAAGGACGCAGGAUGAAACUCACAAUUAAAGACUACAAGUGUCUUAUGGAACACAGAAGAACGGGUAAUAUCAUGUAAACGAUAAGGCACGAUAAUGAAGAGGUCGACCUUCAUUGAGAGGUCCACCUCACAUGCUUCUGGAAACACAAAUGCUGAGUACAUCAGUCAGGUCCCUGAUUUUUUCGGACCUUAGCUGGAAUCGAUGAGUCUCCUCACAUCCUCUCAGCAGCUAGGUGACAUCAGCUGCCUGGAAGAAGUGGGCCCUUCCGUGGGGUCAUGUAUGGACUAGAAGAAGCAACUGUGGACACUUGUCCCUGCCAGGCGGGCGGUACCUGCUGGGCUCCCUACCAGCUUUGUGAUGUGGGGCUAGCCUCUCUGUGCCCCAGUUUUCUCAGAUGUGAGGUGAGAAAUAACAACAGUGCCAACUAAAUAAAGUUACUAUGAGGUGUAAAUGGGAAGCAAAUAGAAAGUUCUUGGUGUGUGUCUGUUCUCAGUAAGGAAAGAAGGUUGAAGUGAGCAGGAGGCCCAUU
This is a long non-coding RNA of Enhydra lutris kenyoni (northern sea otter), 1123 nucleotides long. RefSeq lists it as uncharacterized. The transcript is spliced from 3 exons. Lineage: Eukaryota; Metazoa; Chordata; Mammalia; Carnivora; Mustelidae. The record is from RefSeq and is a predicted model, not a curated record.